UCGGGAAUAUUGCGCAAUGGAGGAAACUCUGACGCAGUGACGCCGCGUAUAGGAAGAAGGUUUUCGGAUUGUAAACUAUUGUCGUUAGGGAAGAAAAAGACAGUACCUAAGGAGGAAGCUCCGGCUAACUACGUGCCAGCAGCCGCGGUAAUACGUAGGGAGCAAGCGUUAUCCGGAUUUAUUGGGUGUAAAGGGUGCGUAGACGGGCGAUCAAGUUAGUUGUGAAAUCCCUCGGCUCAACUGAGGAACUGCAACUAAAACUGGUUGUCUUGAGUGCAGGAGAGGAAAGUGGAAUUCCUAGUGUAGCGGUGAAAUGCGUAGAUAUUAGGAGGAACACCAGUGGCGAAGGCGACUUUCUGGACUGUAACUGACGUUGAGGCACGAAAGUGUGGGGAGCAAACAGGAUUAGAUACC
Molecule: ribosomal RNA, 414 nt
Filed under: uncultured bacterium
Lineage: Bacteria
Description: bacterial SSU rRNA
Rfam family: Bacterial small subunit ribosomal RNA
Source: RNAcentral